CUUCAUCAUUUUAUUUGAGGUAAAAAUUUCUAAUCUUUUUGGUGGAUUUUACACUUUUGCUUGAGGUUAUUUUUAUCUAAGCUUUAAUAAUGAUACCCAUGUGAUUUAUGAGCAUUGGAAGUGAUAUUUAUGUGUUUUAUGUAUGGGUUUUGUAUUGGUAGAAUUAUUUGAUGAGUGGGUAUAUAUUUUGUGCUAUUGAUGACUACUUAAGGUUUAUGUAUGAUGGAAAAAUUUAGGGGGUUUUAAGUUAUAACAUGUGAUGGUUGGUGAAUUUAAUUUUUCUAUUGUCAUUGGGUUUAUUUGGAGUUAGUUGAGGUUCCAAAUUUCUUAUCUUGGAGGAUAUAUUGAUUUUGCUUUCAUGGGUCUCUUAAUGAUGUAGUGUAAAUUUUAUGGAAACUAGUUAUAAUGUUGGAGAUGAUAUUAAAUGGGUUAACUUUAUAAUUGGAGUUUAUGCCUUGUGAAUCAUUUUGUUGAGAAACUAUGGAAGUUGAAUAUAUUAUUAUUGAUGAGGUUAGAUGCUAGGCUUGCCUAAUUAAGUGAUUAUUUGGCAAUUCCUAAAUUGUGGCUAGAUGCAAUUUCAAGUUCUAUACUCAUUGUGAUAGGUUUACUUGAUAUUGUUUAGGUUCUAGCUAAUCUCCUUAGAGCUUGGAGAAUUAGGAUUUUGCGGUUGCGAGUCUUUGUGACAAUGGAAUCAAAUCUAGAUCAGUGCCCUUUCACUUUGGAUGAUGCGUUCUUCCCUGCUGUCCAUGGGGGGAAAAGGUUCCUUAAUUGUGUGUGGGUGAGGCUGCUAUCCAUGGGGCCAAGAGACCACAUGCAAGAAAGGUCCUAUUUGUCGCGCUCUCUCUGCCACCCAUGGGGGGAGAGAAAAACCUUAAGGGUAUGAGUGAGGCUGCUGUCCAUAGGGCCAAGAGUCUUCAUAUUAGAGAGGACAAUAUCAUGCCAGUUGUGAAUGGAUGGAUCCCCUGACCAGUUUAUGUGGUAGUAUGUUAUAUUCAUGAUAAAUUAUCGUAUGUUAGAUUUUAUGACUUUGGAAAUUAUAUGGUUAGUGCUCACAUAUUAUAGUAUAUAGUUUCAAGGUAUUUACUUUGAGAAACUUUGUGUUUUAUUAUUAAAUCAUUCUUGUCAUAUUAUUAUUAUUAUUAUUGAAGAUGAAACUUGUAUUUCCCCCACUCCCAUUAAAUAUGCUACUUAUUGGGCUCUGUUUCAUCCCAUUAUUUUAUAAACUUCCAAAGUAGGCAACAAUCUUUUGAGACAACUUUUUGGGUGGCUAAUAGUAGUUAGACUAACUACUAAUGGAGGCUGAACUUUUGUAAUGGAUAUAUUAGAUGGUGUACAUCUUAGACUAGGCUUGACUCAUUCUUUUAUAUAUUAUAGUGGUUAUGACUGUAUUUCCCACUGAUGGGACAAGCUGUUGAUAUGUAAUUGUUUAUUUAGACCUCUAUUCUUUUGUGGCCAAUGAUCCUUGUAAUUAAUGCUUAGAGCUCUGAUUUACUCUGAGUAUAUAUUCUAUGGGAUUAUUAUGAUAA
Long non-coding RNA from Quercus robur (English oak), 1526 nucleotides. RefSeq lists it as uncharacterized. The transcript is spliced from 2 exons. Lineage: Eukaryota; Viridiplantae; Streptophyta; Magnoliopsida; Fagales; Fagaceae. The record is from RefSeq and is a predicted model, not a curated record.